Molecule: ribosomal RNA, 253 nt
Filed under: uncultured bacterium
Lineage: Bacteria
Description: partial 16S ribosomal RNA
Rfam family: Bacterial small subunit ribosomal RNA
Source: RNAcentral
UACGUAGGGUGCAAGCGUUGUCCGGAAUUAUUGGGCGUAAAGAGCUCGUAGGCGGUUUGUUGCGUCGGCUGUGAAAUCCCGAGGCUCAACCUCGGGUCUGCAGUCGAUACGAGCAAACUAGAGUGUUGCAGGGGAGACUGGAAUUCCUGGUGUAGCGGUGAAAUGCGCAGAUAUCUGGAGGAACACCGUUGGCGAAGGCGAGCUUCUGGGCUGUUCCUGACGCUGAUGCGCGAAAGCUGGGGGAGCAAACAGG